Molecule: ribosomal RNA, 435 nt
Filed under: uncultured bacterium
Lineage: Bacteria
Description: bacterial SSU rRNA
Rfam family: Bacterial small subunit ribosomal RNA
Source: RNAcentral
GCACAACGCGAAGAACCUUACCUACCCUUGACAUGUCUGGAAUCCUGAAGAGAUUUAGGAGUGCUCGCAAGAGAACCGGAACACAGGUGCUGCAUGGCUGUCGUCAGCUCGUGUCGUGAGAUGUUGGGUUAAGUCCCGCAACGAGCGCAACCCUUGUCAUUAGUUGCUACGAAAGGGCACUCUAAUGAGACUGCCGGUGACAAACCGGAGGAAGGUGGGGAUGACGUCAAGUCCUCAUGGCCCUUAUGGGUAGGGCUUCACACGUCAUACAAUGGUCGGGACAGAGGGUCGCCAACCCGCGGAGGGGGAGCCAAUCCCAGAAACCCGAUCGUAGUCCGGAUCGCAGUCUGCAGCUCGACUGCGUGAAGUCGGAAUCGCUAGUAAUCGCGAAUCAGAAUGUCGCGGUGAAUACGUUCCCGGGUCUUGUACACACCG